UACGGAGGGUGCAAGCGUUGCUCGGAAUCAUUGGGCGUAAAGCGCACGUAGGCGGCCUGUUAAGUCGGGUGUGAAAGCCCUGGGCUCAACCCAGGAAGUGCACUCGAAACUGGCGGGCUUGAAUAUGGAAGAGGGUCGCGGAAUUCCCGGUGUAGAGGUGAAAUUCGUAGAUAUCGGGAGGAACACCAGUGGCGAAGGCGGCGACCUGGGCCAAUAUUGACGCUGAGGUGCGAAAGCGUGGGGAGCAAACAGG
RNAcentral lists this ribosomal RNA (253 nucleotides) under uncultured bacterium. RNAcentral's name for it is "partial 16S ribosomal RNA". It matches the Rfam family "Bacterial small subunit ribosomal RNA", at positions 524 to 776 of the family's 1533-position model. The record is from RNAcentral.